UGGAACGGACUGGUCCUGAGUCCGAGAUGGACUAACAGGGCUAGGACUCGCCAGAUAUGAACUUGAAAAGGUCAUAGAACUUGAAUCGGAAAGAUUCCAAGUCAAGGUCUUCAAGAUCGGACUCUGAAACCUCGAGCAAAAGGAGCAUAGAGGUAUGUGGGGGUAGGUACAUGCUACUCAAGGUCUGAGAAGCCAUAGUUUCCGGUGAAAUAAGGUCGGUAACCAGUGAAAGGGGUCAGGGAUUGGAGGGUAGUUGAGAGAAUUUUGAGAGACGAAGGGGAUACAAGGGCG
This 291-nucleotide long non-coding RNA is filed under the name Nicotiana benthamiana. RNAcentral describes it as "long non-coding RNA (NBEN_LNC032233)". Lineage: Eukaryota; Viridiplantae; Streptophyta; Magnoliopsida; Solanales; Solanaceae. The record is from RNAcentral.